RNAcentral lists this RNase P RNA (370 nucleotides) under Planctomycetaceae bacterium. RNAcentral's name for it is "RNase P RNA component class A". It matches the Rfam family "Bacterial RNase P class A". Rfam says of the family: Ribonuclease P (RNase P) is a ubiquitous endoribonuclease, found in archaea, bacteria and eukarya as well as chloroplasts and mitochondria. The record is from RNAcentral. Lineage: Bacteria; Pseudomonadati; Planctomycetota; Planctomycetia; Planctomycetales; Planctomycetaceae.
GAAGCGGGACGGGUGAUCGCUGUUCAGAAUUGAAUGGAGGAAAGUCCGGGCUCCAUCGGACACGAUGACGGAUAACAUCCGCCGAUCGAAAGGUCAGGGAAAGUGCAACAGAAAAUAUACCGCCGAAAAAUUUUUUUUCGGUAAGGGUGAAAUGGCGAGGUAAAAGCUCACCACGAUUCGGGUAACCGAAUCGGUAAGGCAAACCCCAUUGGGAGCAAGGUCAAAUAAGAAUCUAUAGGUUGUCCGAGCCGUUGAGAUUCGGGUGGACCGCUUGAGAAUUUUAGGUAACUAAUUUUCCAGAUAAAUGAUCACCAAUUUGAUUUAUUAAAAGAUCAAAUUACAGAACCCGGCUUAUAGUCCCGCUUCCUUU